AGAACCUGAAACCUUGUGCCUACAAGCACAUAGAGCACAUCAACGUGUGAUAUGGUACUUUUUGUAGAACGGUCCGGCGAGCGAUUGUAUGUUGCGAGCUUAAGCGCUUAAGGCGUGGAGGCGUAGCGAGAGCGAGUCUGAAAAGGGCGUUCAGUAGCAUGCAAUGGGCCCGAAACCGGGUGACCUACCCAUGAUCAGGCUGAAGUGAAAGUAAAAUUUCAUGGAGGGCCGAACCGACCUCCGUUGAAAAGGCGGCGGAUGAAUUGUGGGUAGCGGAGAAAUUCCAAUCGAACUCGGAGAUAGCUGGUUCUCCCCGAAAUAGCUUUAGGGCUAGCCUCAUAUUAGAUACCCGGAGGUAAAGCACUGAAUGGCCUAGCGCCCGAGAGGGUAGCGAAGCCUAUCAAACUAAGAAUGCCGGAGUAUUGAUGUAUGGGAGUCAGACAGUGUGAGAUAAAUCUCAUUGUCAAAAGGGAAACAGCCCAGAUCUACAGCUAAGGUCCCAAAUUGUAUCUAAGUGGAAAACGAUGUGGAAAUACGCAGACAACCAGGAUGUUGGCUCAGAAGCAGCCACUCAUUUAAAGAGUGCGUAAUAGCUCACUGGUCGAGCGUCUCUGCGCGGAAAAUUUAACGGGGCUAAGAUACAAACCGAAGCUUAGGCUGCAUCGUAAGAUGCGGGGUAGGGGAGCGUUGUGUAAGCGGAGAAACAGUAGCGUAAGCGGCUGUGGAGUUUACAGAAGUGAGAAUGCCGGAAUGAGUAGCGCGAAUGUGGUGAGAAUCCACAUGGCCGGAAACCUCAGGUUUUUGGAGGAAGGUUCGUCCGCUCCAAGUUAGGCGGGAGCUAAGGUGAGGCCGAAAGGCGUAGCCGAUGCACAGACGGUAGAGAUUCCGUCCCCACCGAAAGAUUUAAGCACAGGGACACUUUUUGAAGGUCGGAGCCAGGUGUUGGUUCUGGUAGUGAUCGAGGGAAAUAUAGUACCGAAGUCCGGCUGGAAGAGAGGCGAGAAAAGCUGUGUGUAUAUCUAAGGUGCCCGUACCGCAAACCGACACAGGUAGGUAGGAAGAAGAUUCUAAGGCCAACGGGAGAAGGGUUGUUAAGGAACUCGGCAAAUUGACCCCGUAACUUCGGGAGAAGGGGUGCUCCAGAGAUGGAGCCGCAGAGAAUCGGCCCAAGCAACUGUUUACCAAAAACACAGGUUUGUGCUAAAUCGAAAGAUGACGUAUACGAGCUGACGCCUGCCCGGUGCUGGAAGGUUAAAAGGAGAUGUGCAAGCAUUGAAUUGAAGCCCCAGUGAACGGCGGCCGUAACUAUAACGGUCCUAAGGUAGCGAAAUUCCUUGUCAGGUAAGUUCUGACCCGCAUGAAAGGCGUAAUGAUUUGGGCACUGUCUCAACAGCCCGCCCGGCGAAAUUGUAGUACCGGUGAAGAUGCCGGUUACCCGCGACAAGACGGAAAGACCCCAUGGAGCUUUACUGUAGCCUAAUAUUGGGUUUCGAUGUUGCAUGCACAGGAUAGAUGGGACACAGGGAAGCAAGUGCUUUGGCAUUUGUGGAGUGGCCGUUGGGAUACCAUCCUUGCGAUAUUGGAAUUCUAACCUGCGCCUUUGAAUCAAGGCGGGGGACAUUGUUAGGUGGGCAGUUUGACUGGGGCGGUCGCCUCCUAAAGAGUAGCGGAGGCGUUCAAAGGUUGGCUCGUCCUGGACGGAAACCAGGAGAGAGAGUGCAAACGCAAAAGCCAGCCUGACUGCGAGACUGACGGGUCGAGCAGAGACGAAAGUCGGAGUUAGUGAUCCGGUGGUAUGUGAGUGGAAAUGCCAUCGCUCAACGGAUAAAAGUUACCCUGGGGAUAACAGGCUGAUCUCCCCCAAGAGUCCACAUCGACGGGGAGGUUUGGCACCUCGAUGUCGGCUCAU
RNAcentral lists this ribosomal RNA (1909 nucleotides) under human gut metagenome. RNAcentral describes it as "bacterial LSU rRNA". It matches the Rfam family "Bacterial large subunit ribosomal RNA", at positions 545 to 2540 of the family's 2925-position model. The record is from RNAcentral.